AUAAGCAAACGAAGAUCGGAAUUAAACCAAAAUAAAUCUCGUGCCAAAAACAAUAACUUCAUAAGUAGAAGCUGUAGACACGUGAAUAGAAUAUUUAAAGAUGUUGUAAUUGUUUUCCUGGGAGAUUUCAAGAAGUGCUAACCGAAGCAUGAGUAAACUAGGAGCUUUUCGAUCACAGCAAGCAAGGCAUGUCAGUUACUAGUCGUUGAAAUUUUAGUAGGGUAAGCUUUAGCUUGAUAGCGGUUGCUUGGAAAAAACAGUGUAACAUUCAAAAUCGGUUUCUUUUGAACCUGACAACAUUACCGUAAUAAUUCAAUCGCUCAAUACGCC
Molecule: non-coding RNA, 330 nt
Organism: Schizosaccharomyces pombe (fission yeast)
Lineage: Eukaryota; Fungi; Ascomycota; Schizosaccharomycetes; Schizosaccharomycetales; Schizosaccharomycetaceae
Source: the annotation of a GenBank genome assembly